UGAAUUGUGAGGUCUACAAGCAUUUAUUGUUUAGUCUUCAAAGAAGAAAUUUCUGGAGAAACCAAAUGAUCACAAAAAUCAUGCCUCAUCUUUCUUUUUCUUUUUACUCAAAAGCUUCAUUAAUAACAAAACAGUUUAUGUAGAUCAAGUCAAGAAAUUUCUUUACAAAUUUGCUAUUCAAUAUUAGUUAGUGUUGUUGCUGAUUAAAAAAAAUGGGUUGAGAUUUAAAGAUGAAGAGAAUCAAAAAAUAUAGAAGAAAAUUUCUUCCAAUCUAAUGCUAAAAGGGAUCAAGAAUUGGGUGAAAUCUCCAUGAAUUUUCUUUUGCUUACUUAAUUAUUCAUGAUUUCAGGUAUGAAGCUUUCUUCAUCUUUUUGCGAAAUCUUUAUGCUACCUACUCAAUUAAAUAAAAAAAUCAUAAAUGCCUGAUAAUUGAAAUUUCAUAGAUUUUCUUUGCAUGUUAGUUGUAACAUCAAAAUACAAAAUUAAUAUUUGUUUGCACUAAUUUUGCUGCUAAAUUAAGAGUAUAUCAUACAAAAAAUCAAGUCUACAGUAUAAUCUCCUUCAAAAAUGAAAUUGAAUUUCUUCUGAAAUUUAUUUGUUUGAUCUUUGGUUCUGCAUGCAAGCUUCAGAUUGAAGAUUCUUGUUUUGAGUCAAAAUUAGUUGAGAGUGUUGGGUGAAUCUCCAUGUACCUGCUUAUUUGUUUUUUUUUUUAAAUAAAUUAACAAUCUUAAAAAAAAUAUAUUAAAGUCACUGCUAGUUAUAUUUAAAAAAUAGAUUAAAAGAAAAAUCAAACCUUAGGAAUUAAUUUCAUGGACUGAUUUUGUAUUUGCUACAUUGAGGUUGAAGCCAGUGUUGUAUUUAAAAAUUGAUGAUUCUGUGCUAGUGCUGCUCUGUUUUUGAAUGUAAUCUGUGAUGUUUUUUUCUUUUUAUGCUCACAUUUUGGCUUCAUUCUUCCAUAUCCAUUUCCCUUUCCUUUUUUCUUAAUUGAAUUCAAAAUUUGAUCUGUACACCCUGUUAAAGGAUCAAUAGAACUGAAUUAAAAUUUAUUUUUACCAUAGUCUCCAUUAUAUAUCUCACUUUGAUGUUUACUAAUCCCAAUUCUUGCUUGAUAUAAAUAUUUUCUAGCAAUUUCUUCAGAAUCCUCAUCAUUUGCUUCUAAAGUCAUAACAUCAAACGACUCUUUCAUUAACCCAUUCAAACGAAUUGCCAUAGAGGAUUUUACUGCUUUCUUCUUUGUAGUGUAUUCCUCAAAUCUGUCUCCAUGCUUAGCAUUCUUCGACCAUCUUUUCAAAAUAUAUUUUUCAGGAAUAUAAGAAAAAUUCAAGUCAAAGAAUAGAACUUUUAGUGCGUGACAACAUAACCAACCCAUGGACUCAAACAUAUGACAGCUAUAAAUAAUUAAAUUUUCAAGGGAAUUAAAUUGGACAACUUCAGUUUGUCCAUUUUCACCCUUUAAAAUUGUAUAUUUGGUAGUAUUGCCAUUAGUUUCAGCACUGAGUGUUCUUUCGGUUGCCCCUUGCAAAAAUUCAUGUUGGAAUCUUGUGUAAAUUCUUCUCGUGUACACACUAGCAGCAUGUUUUAACAUCCCACAAUCUUCUAUGGAUAUUUUAGGCAUUCCUCGAGAUUUGUAAUCCUCAGCUGUUUCAAUAUCUCGCAUUUCGGUUGUUCGCUGCUCAUAAUGUUUUACAAACUCAGUUAUACCCAUUGCCUUGUAUGUCAUUUCUGUGAAGACCCUAUUUGUGCUCUCACUUCUUUGAGUUGAUUUGAUGUCCGCCAAGAAAAUUAAACGGCUAAAUGCAGGACACCAUUUUUUUCUCAAAUCAUAUAACUUUUGAAGCCAAGUAUUACUCGCACAAUCCCAUUCACUUAUCAUUUUAUCCCACACUAACUCAAAUUCUAGUUCCAAAUGGCACCUCCAUAAGAGUGUGUCAAAAUAGUGUCGAAAUCCCGACAUAAAGUAAAGCUGGGGUAUGUUUUUUUGAGCAUUUCUAUCAAUAUGCCAUUCGCAUAGUCGAUGACACGUGUUUAGAAAGACUUCUUUAAUGGCCAAGGCUAUAGCAGGAGCUUGAUCGGUAAAAAUUAUUUUUGGUGAUUUUCCUUCCUUUUCCUUCAAAAAUGCUUGAAAUAGCCAAACAAAUAAAUCAUUGGUUUCAUUGCAUAAGAAUGCACAACCAAAAAAGGUAUUUUUUCAGUGGUUAUUCACACCAAAAAAUGGAGCACAAAUCAUGUCAUAUCUAUUUGUACGAUAAGUAGUGUCAAAAAUCAUCACAUCUCCAAAACAUUCAUAGUGCAAUUUAGAUAUACUAUCUCUCCAAAAAAAUUGCACAACCUACCAUCUUCAUCAACUUGAAAAGAAUAGAAGAAGUUUGAGUCCUCGGAUUGCAAAUGCAUAAAAUAAUUUAUCGAAUUUUGAGCAUCUCCACUACUAAUCAUAUUUCUCUUCUAUGCUUGAACAAAAUUAUAAGCAUCUUGUUCAAUGAAUCCUACAUUUUCAACUCCACCCGCUUCAUUCUGAAGAUAUCAAACAACUUUUUUUGUAUGAAUACCGGCAUCAAUCAUAGAACCAAGAAUAUUUUUAGUAGUGUUUGUAAGCCUACGACCAGAAUGUAUGAAAUAUUUCAAAUUAUCUUCUAUCAUGGGAUGACUAUGCACAUCAUUGAAUUCACAUACUUUCCAUAUUUUAUUUGAAAUUUUGAAUUUUAUACGAGCCAUACAAUCACAUCUAUAUUCUAAUCUUUGUCGCUUUCUUUCUUGAAAAGGAGAAAGUUUAUCAGAUUAUCCUUCACAAGAACAAAGAAAUAAACGUCUUGUUGUCUCUUCUUUUACAUUGUUAGUCUUUCCUCCCUUUCAAACACCAAAACCUCUUGCCACAGCAUAUGAAUUAUAUGCAUUGUAUGAUUCCUCUUUCGAAUUAAACUCCAUACCAAUCUCAAAAACAAAGUUCUUGCUAGUGUUACAAAUAUUAUGCUCGUUAACAUUGAAAUCUACAAUAAUAAUUUUUAAUUGUAAGUAUCAAAAUUCAAUAAAUAGAUAAACUAUAGAUAGUAUUUAUUUAAUAAAGAUUUCUACACUUAAAUUACCUUCUUGGACAGAGGAGUCUUUGCCUUUGUCAACAUAUGCAUCUUCCAUUUUCUAUUUCAAGCACAAUCUGCAUAAGACAAAAUUUACAACACUAAAAAUUUAAUCUUUUCAAAAGGUUAUCUUAAUAUUUAAAAAUACUUUUUGAUGUUAUAAAAUGUCUAAUUAAAAUAUAAUUUUGAAUAUGUGAUCAAAAAUUUUAAAUUUAGUGUUGAACUUAUUAUUUGGAACAAAAUUAGAAUUGUCAAGUUUUUAUGAUAUUUUUAUUUUUAUAUUUAAUAACAAAAAUUAUUUUUUAUGUUUACAGGAUCAACUGACCAUGAAGAUCAUUCAAUGAAUGAUACACAAGAUAUGGAUUCAAUGAAAAUAUUGAGAACUGAAGCAUAUAUGCUAGCAUUAGAUAUUUUUAUACGGAAAUAUAGUAAUAUUUUACUUUCUAAUUGUAUAUAUAUAUAAUAAGGUGAUUAUACAAAUAUAAAUAACAAUGAGAAAAGAAAAUUAAAAAAAAUAAAGGUCAUAGAUGUAUACAUCUAAAAUAUUUCUUCUAAGUUUUGCUUGAGUGAGAAUACUGUGAGAGCAAUAAAUGUAGAACUACUUUGAAAAUUUUGCUUCGAUUGGUUUGCACAUCACGNNN
RNAcentral lists this long non-coding RNA (3712 nucleotides) under Capsicum annuum. RNAcentral's name for it is "long non-coding RNA (CANN_LNC006348)". The record is from RNAcentral. Lineage: Eukaryota; Viridiplantae; Streptophyta; Magnoliopsida; Solanales; Solanaceae.